UGGUGGAGUGAUUUGUCUGGUUAAUUCCGUUAACGAACGAGACCUUAGCCUGCUAAAUAGUUGCAGGAAACCUUGGUUUCUUGACAACUUCUUAGAGGGACUUCGUGUGUUUAACACGAGGAAGUUUGAGGCAAUAACA
This 139-nucleotide ribosomal RNA is filed under the name uncultured eukaryote. Its description in RNAcentral is "partial 18S ribosomal RNA". It matches the Rfam family "Eukaryotic small subunit ribosomal RNA", at positions 1299 to 1458 of the family's 1831-position model. The record is from RNAcentral.